GUGAGGAUCCGGGAUCAGGUUGAGAACUUCUAUUAGAGGCAUCACCACUUCCAUCUCAUCAAGCUGCUUUUCU
RNAcentral lists this small RNA (73 nucleotides) under Arabidopsis thaliana (thale cress). RNAcentral's name for it is "ATSL202310". Lineage: Eukaryota; Viridiplantae; Streptophyta; Magnoliopsida; Brassicales; Brassicaceae. The record is from RNAcentral.